RNAcentral lists this ribosomal RNA (253 nucleotides) under uncultured bacterium. RNAcentral describes it as "partial 16S ribosomal RNA". It matches the Rfam family "Bacterial small subunit ribosomal RNA", at positions 524 to 776 of the family's 1533-position model. The record is from RNAcentral.
UACAGAGGGGGCAAGCGUUGUUCGGAAUUACUGGGCGUAAAGGGCGCGUAGGCGGCCUGCUAAGUCGAACGUGAAAUCCCCGGGCUCAACUCGGGAACUGCGUCCGAUACUGGCAGGCUUGAAUCCGGGAGAGGGAUGCGGAAUUCCAGGUGUAGCGGUGAAAUGCGUAGAUAUCUGGAGGAACACCGGUGGCGAAGGCGGCAUCCUGGACCGGCAUUGACGCUGAGGCGCGAAAGCCAGGGGAGCAAACGGG